Molecule: long non-coding RNA, 1231 nt
Organism: Hemicordylus capensis (graceful crag lizard)
Lineage: Eukaryota; Metazoa; Chordata; Lepidosauria; Squamata; Cordylidae
Exons: 4
Source: RefSeq, a predicted model, not a curated record
AGUGCUGCUGGUGGCGGCUGUGGCAACAGCCUGGGGGCGGGUGGCAGUGGCUUUCCCCCUGCUGGCCUCCCGCUGCAUAGCCAGGGCUAGUAUGGGCCCGGUUUGGGCCUCUAAGCAGCCAUGGAGUUCACUAACAUCAAGCUGGUUCGAAAGGCUCGGAGGCCUACUUGUAAAUGGGAAUCCGGGGCCACUGGUGGAGACCGUUCUGGGAGAGGAAGAGACCAAGAGCAUUUAGUCCCAGGCAGGACAAUGGAGUGGGCCUGGCUGUCCCAUCUCUCCACCUCAGGCAGCCUGGUGGACUGGCAGCCGCUGGAGACAAAAGAGGGAAAAUGGGUCAGCUGGAAUUUCUUCUGGAUUUGCAUUGUCAAACUCUGGCAACCAAGCAAGUGGGUCAACUUCCAGGUUUUGGUUGUUUGAAUGGAAUGUAAACCACCCGGAGAUUUCUUAUGGGGCAGUAUAUCAAUGUGACAAACAAACAAACACACAUCAUGUACAAAUGAAGUGUAGCAGUGGGCUAACCAGGACCCCCAGUUGCAAUACCAUCUCCCACCAUCUCUUAUCCUCAGUUUUUAUGCAUUAUUGCAGCUUCAUUUUUAUGUCUAAGGAAAGGAAGCACAGCUAACAACUCCUAGCUCGACUGCACUAAAGUGGCCUCAUUGGAAAAACCUGUCUGUCUUCCUUUGCUGGAUCCACUCAUAACUACAUUCUACAUCCAUAUGUUUAAAGAAUGUUAUAACUGGGAAUAAUCCAGAACCCUGAGCACAUAUUUCCCACGGCGCGUGCUGAGUGUAUGGCCUCAUCGAUGAGAAUGGGGAAAACUGCAAGCUCCAGAUUAUGUCUAUUGAGUCAAAGACAGCUCCUUUUGACUUCUGGGGAAUGAACUCCACAAACAAACCUGUACUGAAGAAAGUCCAAUGGCAUUAAUGGAAUUACUCCCCAGAAGGUGGAUGUCUGCAUAGUCACACAUGAAAAGUUAACAUCCAUAAACAUUUUGAAAUGAUCACUCCCUAUAACUCCUGAGUUCCAAACCAGCCUCAUUCUUUCUUUCUUUCUUCUUUUGAGCUACUCCUAAAUAUGAUUAGAAUGUAAUUUGUUGGGUUUUAUUUUCCACCCACCACCCACACUCAUUUUUAAUCUUCCUUUGGGGAAGCUGCUGUGGGAAUUCAUCAAAUAAAAUGCCUUGCUCAAGGAAAUGGCAAUAACUUAAUAAAAGGAAAAAAUAUGGAAAUGA